AGGAGCACAGUGACCCCGCCUCCACAGGGUCCGCUCCGCCACACUGACCCUUCCGUGUCGCUCGCGGGACCCCACCCCUGUCCGCCUGCUCCGGUGCCCAUGGGGAAGCCUGGUGCCAGGGGUCACCAGUCAGUCCAAUUCACCGCCCGACUGGUGGGACAAGGACAGGUCAGCGGGUCACAGGCCGGAAGUGAGACUCGCCCGGCCGCUCUGGGACGCGGGAAGACCGAGGCCUCGGUGGUUCCCCUCUCUCCCGCCUGGCUCCCUCAGGAGAAGGAGCGGCUAAGAAUGUAAAUCAUCCCGCACAGAAAAGGAUGCGAUUCACGGAGAAAGAGUUCUGUCUCCUCUCUGGGCACAGCUCUCUCUUUCCUGGAAGACAGCGGCCCUGGACAGGCUGGGGGCCCCCGACAGGUUCUAGCCCGGAGGAAGGCGCUGUGACUGGGGGCUCCAGUGGAGACAGAGGACCUUGAUGGAUUUUAUUCUUGUGAGAAGCCCGCUUUCCUACCCAAACCUCAUGCCAGUUGGUGACGCGAAGUCAACUUGGGCACUGAUCCAGCCCACCCAGCCCCGCAUGGUCCGCAGACUGUCCCACCCUCCCGUCCCGUAGCCCACCAGCACCCCGCCCCGCCCUGCCGCCGAGCGCCCACACAGCCUCCCCUCCGUGCCCCCAGCCCACCAGCCCCCUAAGCCUCCCACAGCACCUUGCCCCACAGCGCCUCACGAGGCCUCGACCUCGGGUCCCUCAGCCCCACCGCCCCUGACAGCGCCAGGCCCCACCCCACAAUACCCCACAGCCUCCCACCCCCGCCUCAAGGCCCCAACCUAUGACCCUCCACAUUGCCCCACCCACAGCACCCCCACACCGGCCCGCCCCAAGGUGCCCCACAGCACCCCACCCCACAGCUCCCCAGAGUGCCCCUUCCCAUAGCCCCCCACACCACCCCGCCCCACAGCGCCCGCCCCAAGGCCCCGCCCCACUGCCCUGCCCCACCCAUCCCCUACACCGCCCUCCCCUACAACACACCACCCCGCAUCCUCCAUAGCGCCCCCACCUUCAGUUCCCACACCACCCUGCCUCACAGCGCCCCUCACUGCCCCAUCUCCCAGGGCUUACAGUCCCCACCCCCUGCAUCGCCCAGCGCCUGAGAGGCUGGGCUCCGGGUACCUCCCAAGAGACAAGAGGUGUGUCCCACGCCCUGUGCAGUGAGAAGCCCUGGAACUCCAGGACCCUGCUUUUUUAGGCAGAAUGCUAUGGAUGGGCCACUCCAAAGAGAAACGCGGCUGGGGCCUUCUCACUGGGGUUGCAGGCCGUGGGAUGGUGUGAACACUCCAUGUUUAUUCACAUCUUGGACCCCCCAACCCCCCCAAGGGAGGGGUGGCCUUGUCUUUGCAAGAAGGCUUCUGAGUCCUUAGAGGUGAAGCUGUGUCCUCAUUCCACUCCCCACUGAUACCCAAGCCAACAAGGAGAUGCCCUGACCCACUCAUGGCCAAGGACACUCAUGGAAAAGGCCUUCGUCCUCUCAGUACAGACUGUGCCAGGCAGGCCAGGAAAAGCCAAGAAAAUAUGGAUGGAACAGAUAGGUUCCUAGCAAAAUACUAAAGCUGAGCCAAAGUAGAAAACUUGAAUUAACUAAUUGCCAAAAAAAAAACAGAUUAGAGAGGUGAUUAAAAAGCUACCAUUAAGAAAGCUCUAGAUGGCUCCAGAUCACAGCUGAGCUCUCACCAACCUUUAGAGAUCAGAUAAUUUGAAAGUUAAUUACAAUCUUCCAAGCCACAGAAAAAGAUUAAAAACCUCAAUUCACUUUACGAAGCCUUCUGUCUGUAAGCUUGUCUAAGUCUAUGUUGCUAUAAAGGGAAUACCUGAGACUGGGUAAUAUAAAGAAAGGAGGUUUAUUUGGCUCACAGUUCUGCAGGCUGUGCAGGAAGCAUGGCACCAGUAUCUACUGGUGAGGCCUCAGGCUGCUUUCACUUAUGGUGGAAGAUGAAGGGGAGCUGGUGUGCAGAGAUCACACAGCAAGAGAAAAGGCAAGAAAGAGAGUGGGUAGAGGCCAGGCUUGUUUAAACAACCAGCUUUUGGGGGAAUUCAUAGAACUAGAACUCCCUUAUUACCAUGAAGAGGGCACCACGCAUUCAUGAGGGAUCCACCCCCAUAAUCCAAACACCUCCUACCAAGUACCACCUCCAACAUUGGGGAUCAAAUCUCAGCAUGAGGUUUAGGAGGACAAACACCCAAACCAUAGCGAAGCUUAACACGCCAAAAUGAUAGAGCUCAAAGAAUCUAUAGACCCAGAUCUCUAUGUUUAAUAUUGAAAAACAAAUUAUAAAUAAGACAGUAGCAAAUAGAAUCAAGCAGCAUAUCAAAAAAAUAAUAUGCCAUGGCCAAGUAUGGUUUAUUUCAGGAAUACAAGGAUACCUACAUACCAUUGCAAUUCAUUAGCUCAACAAAUUAAAAGAGAAAAAACAGGCCGGGUGCAGUGGCCCACACCUGUAAUCCCAGCACAUUGGGAGGCCGAGGCAGGCAGAUCACCUGAGGUCAGGAGUUCGAGACCAGCCUGGCCAACAUGGUGAAACCCUGUCUCUACUAAAAAUACAAAAAAAUUAGCUGGGCAUGGGAGGCUGAGGCAGGAGGAUUGCCUGAACUCGGGAGGUGGAGGUUUCAGUGAGCUGAGAUCACGCCAUUGCACUCCAGCCUGGGCAACAAGAGUGAAACUCCUUCUCAAAAAAAAAGAAAAAGAAAAAGAAAAAACAGCAUUCCAUCCACAUAUGCUAAAUAAUAACAUUGAAUACAAUUCUAGAGCCAUUCUGAGUAAAAUUUCAAAGAAAAUAGGAAUAAAUGAAAAUGAUUUAAAUAUGGUAAAAAUUAUUAACCAUAAACUCCAAGAACAAGCAUCAUUUAUAGAACGAUAUGCUAAAGCUAUUACUUUUUUUUUUUUUUUUUUGAGAGGGAUCUUGCUCUGUCACCCAAGCCACGAUGUCAGCUUACUGCAACCUCCUCCAGGUCCUGGGUUUAAGCGAUCCUCCUGCCUCAGCCUCCCGAGUAGCUGGAACUACAGGCGCAUGCCAUCAUGCCUGGCUAAUUUUCUUGUAUUUUUAGUAGAGAUGGGGUUUCACUAUGUUGGUCAGGCAGGUCUCAAACUCCUGACUUCAAGUGAUCCGCCUGCCUCGGCCUCCCAAAGUGCUGGGAUUACAGGCAUGAGCCACCGCGCCCGACCAGGAUCAUUAAUAUAUUUAGAAGAAAUUAAAGUUGUCCUCUGUCUCAUAACAUAUAUGAAAAUAUUUCUAGAGGUAUUUAAAGCCUUAAUUAAAAACAGAGCAAUAAAUAAGCCAGUCACGACAAAUUCUGUAUAAUUCUGCUUAUGUGCAGUACCUAGAGCAUUCAAAUCCAUACAGACAGAAAGAAUGUUGGUUACUAGGGACUGAGGGGAGGGGAGAAUGGGGAGUUAGUGUUUAAUGGGGACAGUUUUAGUUUUACACAGUUAAAGAGUUCUGGAGAUGGAUGAUGGUGAUAAGUGCACAACAUUGUGAAUGUAUUGAAUAUCACUGAACUGUACACUUAAAAUAGGUUAAGAUGGUAAAUUUUAUGUUAUAUGAAUUUUACCACAAUAAAAUUUUUUUAAAACUCAGAGCAAUAAAAAUCUUAGUGAAAAUUUAGGACAUCAUAUGUGCAAGAUAGAUCAGCGGAAUCCUUUGUAACCGUGACGGGCAACUCAGAAGCUAUAAAAAACAGAUUAGGCAUAUUUAUUUAAUAAAAUGAAAAAGACUUGUAUGACAAAAGAUCCCUUAAAUGAAAUUGAUAGACAAAUUUUAACUGGGGCACGGCCAGGUGCGGUGGCUCACCCUGUAAUCCCAGCACUUUGGGAGGCCAAGGCGGGUGGAUCACUUGAGGUCAGGAGUUCAAGACCAGCCUGGGCAACGUGGCGAAACCCCGUCUCUACUAAACAUACAAAAAUUAACCAAGUGUGGUCGUACGUACUUGUCAUCCUAACGACUCAGGAGGCUAAGGCAUGAGAAUCGCUUGAACCCAGGAGGCGGAGGUUGCAGUCAGCUGAGAUUGUGCCACUGCACUCCAGCCUGGGUGACAGAGCAAGACUGUCUUAAAAAAAAAAUUUAACUGGGGCAAGAAAAGUAUGAAGACAUGCGGCAGAGCAAAGUGGAGGCAGCGUGUGGCCCAGUGCUUAGUACUGUAAUCCCCAAGCUUGUUUUCACUAACCCUGUUUUUAGACUCUCCCUCUUUCCUUUAAUCACCUAGCCUUGGUUCCACCUGAAUUGACUCUCCCUUAGCUAAGAGCCAGACAGACUCCAUCUCGGCUCUUUCACUGGCAGCCCCUUCCUCAAGGAUUUAACUUGUGCAAGCUGACUCCCAGCACAUCCAAGAAUGCAAUUAAUUGAUAAGAUACUGUGGCGAGCAAUAUCCGCAGUUCCCAAGAAUUUGUCCCAUUGAUAACGCCCAACGACCCGCGUCUAUCACCUUGUAAUCGUCUUUAAGCCCCUGCACCUAGAACUGUUUACUUUCCUGUAACCAUUUAUCCUUUUAACUUUUUUGCCUACUUUAUUUCUGUAAAAUUGUUUUAACUAGACCCCCCUCCCCUUUCUAAACCAAAGUAUAAAGGAAAAUCUAGCCCCUUCUUCAAGGCCGAGAGAACUUUGAGCGCUAGCCGUCUCUUGGCCGCUGGCUAAAUAAACAGACUCUUAAUUCGUCUCAAAGUGUGGCGUUUUCUCUAACUCGCUCAAGUACAACAGUACAUGCAGUGUCUGGCUCUCCUGUCACAUUUUCAGAAGUCACCUAGAAGAGACAGUCCCUGGGCCUCGG
Molecule: long non-coding RNA, 4810 nt
Filed under: Homo sapiens (human)
Lineage: Eukaryota; Metazoa; Chordata; Mammalia; Primates; Hominidae
Description: non-protein coding lnc-ZNF251-2:1
Source: RNAcentral